GUGCCAGCAGCCGCGGUAAUACAGAGACUGCAAGCGUUAUUCGGAUUCACUGGGCGUAAAGGGUGCGCAGGCGGCCGGGUGUGUCAGAUGUGAAAUCCCGAGGCUUAACCUCGGAACUGCGUCUGAAACUACUCGGCUAGAGUAUUGGAGAGGGUAACGGAAUUCACGGUGUAGCAGUGAAAUGCGUAGAUAUCGUGAGGAACACCAGAGGCGAAGGCGGUUACCUGGACAAUUACUGACGCUCAGGCACGAAAGCAUGGGGAGCAAAAGGGAUUAGAUACCCUGGUAGUCC
Molecule: ribosomal RNA, 292 nt
Filed under: uncultured bacterium
Lineage: Bacteria
Description: partial 16S ribosomal RNA
Rfam family: Bacterial small subunit ribosomal RNA
Source: RNAcentral